Molecule: ribosomal RNA, 459 nt
Filed under: uncultured bacterium
Lineage: Bacteria
Description: partial 16S ribosomal RNA
Rfam family: Bacterial small subunit ribosomal RNA
Source: RNAcentral
CCUACGGGUGACAGCAGUGAGGAAUAUUGGUCAAUGGGCGGGAGCCUGAACCAGCCAAGCCGCGUGAGGGAAGAAGGUACAGCGUAUCGUAAACCUCUUUUGUCAGGGAACAAAGGCGGGGACUAGUCCCCGGUUGAGGGUACCUGAAGAAAACGCAUCGGCUACCUCCGUGCCAGCAGCAGCGUUAUUACGGAGGAUGCGAGCGUUAUCCGGAUUUAUUGGGUUUAAGGGGUGCGCAGGCGGCCUGUUAAGUCAGCGGUAAAACCCCGGGGCUCAACCCCAGCGAGCCGUUGAAACUGGGGGGCUGGAGUUGGAGAGAGGUACGCGGAAUGCGUGGUGUAGCGGUGAAAUGCUUAGAUAUCGCGCAGAACCCCGAUUGCGAAGGCAGCGUACCGGCGCCACACUGACGCUGAGGCACGAAAGCGUGGGUAUCGAACAGGAUUAGAUACCCGAGUAGUC